This is a long non-coding RNA of Lates calcarifer (barramundi perch), 963 nucleotides long. RefSeq lists it as uncharacterized. NCBI's taxonomy places the organism in Eukaryota, Metazoa, Chordata, Actinopteri, Centropomidae. The record is from RefSeq and is a predicted model, not a curated record. The transcript has 2 exons.
UUAAAAUGACAUUUAUUGUAUUUUUUUAUUUUAUAAAUUUCCCAUAUUUUAGUAUUUACACAUUUCUAGGUGAACAAUGGUUUGUAAACAAACUAAUUUGUUACUGCUCACAGCUGCAGGAUCAUCAAUCAUCCAUCACACAGACAUACGCAGCUUUUUUCACUGUGAUAUUAAAAAGUCAAACUGGACUCACCAGGUGUUUGAUCCCUUCAGCUUCCCGUACGUCUCCGCUGCAGGUGUACAGGUGAACAGGUGAAUGCUGCGACUCAGUCGCUCUGAUCCUGAAAAAACUCCACAGCUCGUAUAUUUUUUUCUAACACGAUGAAAACACUGAGCAAAGAAAAAAACCUCACAGCUUCACAUGUGUUUCAGUUGGUGAUUCUUCAUAUUAAAACUGUUUUUAUUAAUUUAUUCUCUAUUAAAAUAAAGUCAGAGGAGAAUCAGAACACAGCAGAAGAAGCGAAAAUAAACAAUAGAUUAUGGAAUGUACUUCAGUAAAGAAAAUAAAAGCUCCAGCUGGUCCAACAUGGGGGCUUUAUUUCAACCACAGUCAAAUAAAGCACCGCUCUUAUAUAUUCAUAUAUAUAUAAAGAUAUUUAUAUAUAUAUUUAUAUAGUUUUCAUAUACACCUUCAGGCAAUGACUAGAGAGGAUUCUUUACAGAAUCAAGUUUCUUGUGGUUCUCUUAAUUUACAGGUAAACUUAGUUUCUGGAUAAUUAAACCACAGAAAAGUCAAGGCAACUUUCUUUUGCCUCGUUCAUAAAGUACAAAACUGGCACAGAGGACGACCAUUUUCAUACACAGUAAAAAUGCAAUAAAAUUAAAUUACAUACAGAGGAGACAAAAGUUCUGUAAACCUUUCCCCGUUACAGCAAACCUCAAAUAAAAUCACUUUCCAAAACAAAUUCAAAUCAGUAUAAAACACACACACACACAUACACACGCACACAAAAAAAAAAACAA